Molecule: ribosomal RNA, 253 nt
Filed under: uncultured bacterium
Lineage: Bacteria
Description: partial 16S ribosomal RNA
Rfam family: Bacterial small subunit ribosomal RNA
Source: RNAcentral
GACAGAGGUGCCAAGCGUUAGGCGGAAUCACUGGGCUUAAAGCGUGUGUAGGCGGAUCGUUAAGUACCUUGUGAAAUCCCACGGCUCAACCGUGGAACUGCCUCGGAUACUGGCGGCCUCGAGGGAGGUAGGGGCGUGCGGAACUGUGGGUGGAGCGGUGAAAUGCGUUGAUAUCCACAGGAACUCCGGUGGCGAAGGCGGCACGCUGGACCUUUUCUGACGCUGAGGCGCGAAAGCCAGGGGAGCAAACGGG